RNAcentral lists this long non-coding RNA (2070 nucleotides) under Solanum tuberosum (potato). RNAcentral describes it as "long non-coding RNA (STUB_LNC005271)". The record is from RNAcentral. Lineage: Eukaryota; Viridiplantae; Streptophyta; Magnoliopsida; Solanales; Solanaceae.
GUAUAGUAAAAUCAAUAACAAUAAUAACGUAUCAGUGUAAUCUUACGAGUAAGAUCUGAGAAGGAAGAGGAUGUAUGAAAUUUUAUUCCUACUUUGGAAAGGUAAAAAAUUGAUUUUUGAUCAACCCCAGCUCAAAGUAAAACAUAUAAAGUAAGUAUGAUAGUGAAGAAUUUGAAAACAAUGGAGAAAAUUGUUAAGAAGCAUAAAUAACAAAAUGUGACGCUUCAUGCUACUAUCUUAACAAUGUAUGUAUAAAUGAAAUGUAAUUCAUGUUAUGUGGUACAAUAGUAAGACUGCUCUAUCCUUAAUCAGAAGUCUUAGUUUCGAGUUUUGGAUAUGAAAAAAAUCAUGUUGAAAGCGUUACCUUCGAAGAUGGAUCCUGCAGUGCAUGACUUGAAUUUAGUCAGGACUCUCAUACGAGCUCAAAACACAAGAAAAACCAAAAAUAAUGUAAUUCAUUAUGUCUAGGUUAAUGGAUUUCACCACCCAACAUGAUCAAUAGUAAUUUUACCUAUUUUUAUGUGUGACUCAAACACUUUACCUUAUCGAUCAAUGAUGGAGAUAGUCAACCACUUGAAUAAGCCUCACUUGUAAAUGAAUUUCCUUCUGCUUAAAUCUUUUUUUUAUCGUUAAAAAUUUAAGAUGUAAUAUUUGCUCCAUUGUUUGAUUAAUGGUUGUUAGAAUUGAAAUAGAAAAAUAACUGCAAAUUAAUUUAAUUUAUGCAAACUACGAUGGAAAUCUCGUAGCUCUAUAUAUCAUUAAGCUAAGCAAUUAAAUUAUAUAUCAUGAUAAUUAGCCACUUAGCCACUAUAAAAUAUUCUAUCUUCAAAGGAAACUAUAUAAAUUUGGUGAAUCGAUCAAUCAUUUUCAAUCAUUUGAAUCCCUUUAAAAGAAUUAGAAAUAUUAAAAAUGAUUGAAGUUUAAAAAUAAUUAGUCUUAGUAACAUCCAACCCACCAAGAUUGUUGGUUAGUAAUUAAAUAAUUUAAUGAUCACUAGUGUCACAAUAAAGGUCGUUUAGUUGCAUCAUUAUGUCCCUUAAUCACGUAAAUGAGUCGCUUAAACCCAUUUUAUAUUGUUAAUUACCAACUGUAUUACUCCAUUUAAUUUGUUGCAUGCAACUUUUUCCUCUUUCUUUUUUGAGAAACAAAGAGUGGACACAAAAGUAAAGAGAGUAAAUAAUUAUAGACAACAAAUAAAAUUUGUAUUUAAUCCAUUAUAGUCCUUCUGGUCUAUUUUAAUUGUCGUGCUUACUAAAAAUAACUGAUCUAAAAUAGUGUAUUUUUUUAGAAACUCAAGAUAUAAUGAACUAUUUAUUUAAUUUCUAUCUUUACCUUUACUCAACAAAUGUGAAAUGCUCAAUGAAAAAGGAAAAUACUAAAGAGGAGAAGGUCCAAAGUCGUCUCCACGUUGAAACCCUAAACUAAAAAAGUGAACUAUGUUUAGUUAUUCUUUCUCGAGCAUAUAUAUUCUUCCGUCAAAAGAGAUUCGAAAAAAGAAGAUGAAAUAGUAGAAGUACCCGAUUACAAGAACAAUUUUAAUUUAAAGUCAACCACAUGUCAUAGUCUGAUUCAUCCAUUUACCAUGUUCAGAUGUCACUCGACAUAAAGACUGUUCAGAAAUACAUUUUUUAUAGAAUAAUUAGAUUUCAGAUACUUCUUAAAAUUUAAAAUAUUUCUAAAUUUUGAUAGGUUCCAUGAAAGGGCGAAUGUAGAGACAUAGAGUGUAAUUACAAGAUUCAUCCAAAUUCAAAACCUAUAUAUAUGUUACAUUUCUAAAAAUAUAAAUACAUCGAACUCUAAUAAAUUUAUGAUAGAAUUUCGAUCUCAAACCUCUAAAAUUCAAAUUAACUUUUCGCGUCUAAUUUACGCCUCGAACAACAAAAAGUAUGGUAAUGGACGUGUGCGCAAAUGAAUGUUGUGGGCUGCGCAACAUGCUCUAUAAUAUGGGAACUAAAUAAAUAGAGCAAAUAUCACAUACGUCUAUAUGGGAACUCAAUAUUAUAAUUUUUCUUGGGAACAAGCAACUUAAUUAUUUACACAACACAAAUAUAAUAUAUAGUUCAAGCUAAG